This 171-nucleotide ribosomal RNA is filed under the name uncultured Rhodocyclaceae bacterium. RNAcentral describes it as "partial 16S ribosomal RNA". It matches the Rfam family "Bacterial small subunit ribosomal RNA", at positions 1214 to 1382 of the family's 1533-position model. Lineage: Bacteria; Pseudomonadati; Pseudomonadota; Betaproteobacteria; Rhodocyclales; Rhodocyclaceae. The record is from RNAcentral.
CUUCACACGUCAUACAAUGGUCGGUACAGAGGGUUGCCAACCCGCGAGGGGGAGCUAAUCCCACAAAGCCGAUCGUAGUCCGGAUCGCAGUCUGCAACUCGACUGCGUGAAGUCGGAAUCGCUAGUAAUCGUGGAUCAGCAUGUCACGGUGAAUACCGGUUCCCGGGUCUU